CAUAAAAUUAGAGGAAGAUAAGAUAGAAUUGGACCUCAAAGAACCGAUUUCGUUAAUAAUAAUGUUUGAGAAAUCUAAACUUGAAACCCCAAAUAGAAAACCUUAACGCUGAAUCGAUUCCGUUACCUGAACUCAGAAUUCGAUUCAAAACGCAGAAAACCCAGAAUUCCAAACAAACCAAAACUAGAUGUGGAUUCAAAUGGAGUAACGACAAUAAACUAAUUUCAGAUCAAAUUUAAGAAAAAGGGAAUCAACGGUGUCGUUUUUCGGUGGACCUAUCGAAACAGUAACAAAAAAACAUGACUAGGUGUUUUUCGGUAAAUAAUCCAGUGAUCUUUAGUGUUUUUUGGCCACUUUUAUCUAUAAAAACCACGAGAAAUAGAAA
This 385-nucleotide long non-coding RNA is filed under the name Capsicum annuum. RNAcentral's name for it is "long non-coding RNA (CANN_LNC022271)". The record is from RNAcentral. Lineage: Eukaryota; Viridiplantae; Streptophyta; Magnoliopsida; Solanales; Solanaceae.